RNAcentral lists this transfer RNA (65 nucleotides) under Austropallene cornigera. Its description in RNAcentral is "tRNA-Lys". Lineage: Eukaryota; Metazoa; Arthropoda; Pycnogonida; Pantopoda; Callipallenidae. The record is from RNAcentral.
UACUAAAUGUCCGAAAAUAGGUGAUAGAUUUUUAAUCUAUUUAUGAUAAUUAAUAUCUUUAGUAA